Molecule: long non-coding RNA, 909 nt
Organism: Anopheles stephensi (Asian malaria mosquito)
Lineage: Eukaryota; Metazoa; Arthropoda; Insecta; Diptera; Culicidae
Exons: 4
Source: RefSeq, a predicted model, not a curated record
AAAUAAUGGGGUACACUAGAGAAACACACACAUACACAACGGUAGACCGGCGAUGGGAAUAGGAACAUGUGUCGAUGUCGUCCCUUUUGUUCGUGGCAAAUAAAACGUUCGACGCCAUACAACGGUGGAGGGCCCCUCUAGGCACCGAAAGUAGUCGAUCGAAACGCGAUCGAACGCGACGGUUAGCGAACGAUCGUUAGCACCGUUCGAUUGCGGUUCGAUACAGCGUAACCCUGUCGGUGUAUGAGUGAGUUCUAGUUCCCGUUGGAUUUUUACCAGAUUACCUCACACUUGUAAUUAACAAAGAAGAAGAAUGAAUUCUAAGGCGUCACUCACAGCAUAAAAAGUGUGGAAACCACAAGAGGAAGCUGCACACAGAUGACAGCUGGUCUCGGCCGCGUGUAAUCGGCUGAGUGCAGAGUGUCGCAUCUGUUGAAUGCCAACAUCAUCGAUUCGUUCCUGAGGGUAUGAUGCGCAAGCGUUACUUUACCCUUCGGAGCGAGUACCUCAUCGAAAAUACAUUGCACCGUUCAAGCUAAUAGAGCGUCCGCUAUUUCGAUGAAGUAAAGAUGGGGGCUGUCUCUGCUCACGAAGACGCCUGUUGCAUUCCGAACCAUCCCCGAGCGGAACUCAGCGUUCUUGUUCUACGGAGGCGUUCUCAUCUUAUUUUCUCAUCUCACCCAUGCUCAUCCUCACCGCGUGGCCCAGUAUAUGGAGGCGCCUGGUGUUUUACGAUGUGGAACGCAUGGUGCUUUUCGGCGCGCCACGAUUAAAUGCACACGUGCUGCGUUUUGUUUAUGGCCGGCGGUACGUAUUUGCUUUUAUUAGAUGAUUUGAUACUUUUCAGCGUCGACCGUUGGCAGUGUUUAUUUAGAGUGCUUAAAUCGAUCAGGUGGAUGUGUUUAUGUU